GAUGAACGCUGGCGGCGUGCCUAAUACAUGCAAGUCGAGCGAACAGACGAGGAGCUUGCUCCUCUGACGUUAGCGGCGGACGGGUGAGUAACACGUGGAUAACCUACCUAUAAGACUGGGAUAACUUCGGGAAACCGGAGCUAAUACCGGAUAAUAUAUUGAACCGCAUGGUUCAAUAGUGAAAGACGGUUUUGCUGUCACUUAUAGAUGGAUCCGCGCCGCAUUAGCUAGUUGGUAAGGUAACGGCUUACCAAGGCAACGAUGCGUAGCCGACCUGAGAGGGUGAUCGGCCAGACUGGAACUGAGACACGGUCCAGACUCUGACGGGAGGCAGCAGUAGGGAAUCUUCCGCAAUGGGCGAAAGCCUGACGGAGCAACGCCGCGUGAGUGAUGAAGGUCUUCGGAUCGUAAAACUCUGUUAUUAGGGAAGAACAAAUGUGUAAGUAACUAUGCACGUCUUGACGGUACCUAAUCAGAAAGCCACGGCUAACUACGUG
Molecule: ribosomal RNA, 497 nt
Filed under: uncultured bacterium
Lineage: Bacteria
Description: partial 16S ribosomal RNA
Rfam family: Bacterial small subunit ribosomal RNA
Source: RNAcentral